Molecule: transfer RNA, 64 nt
Filed under: Cymus sp.
Lineage: Eukaryota; Metazoa; Arthropoda; Insecta; Hemiptera; Cymidae
Description: tRNA-Glu
Source: RNAcentral
ACUUAUGUAAUUUAAAAUAAAAUAUUUCAUUUUCAAUGAAAAAAUAAAUAAUAUUUCAUAAGUA